Molecule: long non-coding RNA, 6766 nt
Filed under: Sus scrofa (pig)
Lineage: Eukaryota; Metazoa; Chordata; Mammalia; Artiodactyla; Suidae
Description: lncRNA (ENSSSCG00055002593.1)
Source: RNAcentral
GCAUUUAUCUAUAAUCGUUCCAUCUAAAUACUUAAUUUUUUAUUUUUUUAUGAUAAGGUAUUCCAGGCCUACUACAAACAUGGAACUAAUUACUAUUCAAAGAUAACUCAUUCUCUUUAGUGGAGAGACCAAUGUCUGAAUACUAGAAAUACUCAUUGUUUAAUGAGUACUAGUAGCAGAGCAAUGCGAUACAUGGCUACUAACCACGUUAAUGCACCAGGAAAAAAAAAAUUAUGUUCCAUACUGCAUUAAUUUAUAUUUAUAAUUCAACUUAUUUCCAGUUAUUUAAAUUACUUUAUGCUAUUCUCAGAUGAGCACAGGGAAUUAUAUUUGAUCGCUUGUGAUGGAACAUGAUGGAGCAUAAUGUGAAAAAAAGAAUGCAUCCGAAUGUAUGGCUGGGACAUUUUGCUGUGCAGCAGAAAUUGACAGAACAUGGUAAAUCAAAUAUAAUAAAACAAUUUUAAAAGAUAAUUUACUUAUUCUUGUUUUUUUGUUGCAUCCAUUAACUUCAUUUUAUUAUGAUUUCUGCUUUGUCAUUCUAAAUAUCAUCAAACUGGUUUUAUCUCCAAAUUUAAAUGUCCUCCUUUGCCUUUUUAUACAUUUUUGACAAUUACAGAGAUCUUCUAAAAUUAGCACUAAAGUGUUCAAGUUCCAAUGAUCAUUUUUAUCAUCAUGACUAGAGUCAUCCAUCUGAAAUGGAAAAGAAACCCAAGCCUUAUCUAUAAAAUCGCUAAAGAAAAAAAUACAUGUGUAAGCAAUACACAGAGAACACUCAGUGUUUCAGAUUAGAAUUACAUAUUUUUAAAUAUAUAAAAAUAGUAACUAAGAAAACGCAGAAAUUAUAGAGUUUUCCUAACAUUUGUCUGAGUUAGAUCUAAAAUUUUCCUGUAUUACUAAGUAUUUAUAUUUUGUAAUAGGCAGUUUUAGAAAUAAAUUGUUAAAGGGCAUUUUAAGUAUGCAGAUAUUUCCUUAGUAAUGAAUCAAAUCAACUUUCCAAAGGCAAUUAAGAAUGUCAGAAAAUAUACAAAAGUAAUGUGAAAAUGUAUCAGAUUCCUAAAUCUUUACAUAAAUUUCAAUUAACAAGUAUAUGUAAUUUACAUAGUUUUGUAUAGGAUCUGGAAAUUUAACCAAUAAUACAUACCAAAGAAUUUAUACAUUGAUGUAUUUCACUUUAAAUUUCAUAGUCACAUUUUAAAAGAAACUCCUAUCCCUCCACUUUAAUACUAAUUUAUGAAAUUGUUUAUUUUAGACGUUCUCUCCACUGACCUUUAUUUUUUCCUUUAAAAAAUGCAAUACAAGACAUAUACAUGGCUUUGGAGUGAUGUAUAUGGCAAAAAUUCCAAUAUUGCAUCAAUUAAAAAUGUUUUGUCUUUCCAAUUUUGCUUUCUAAGGUAACUGAAUUUAUCACAGAGAAGAAGCUACAAAAUCACACUUUAUCUUGGUAGCACAAGUCAUACAAUUUUUAAAAGCCUCCCAAAUUUGGUAUAUUUUAUCAGGAAAAUCUAACAAGCCCAAAAGUUUUUGAGCUUCCUGCUUACAUGCAAAACAGUUAACAGACGGUAAUUUAUUCUUCACUGCCAGAAGAAAGUCAUAUGUGACUCCUCAGCUGCUCAUACCCUCUAAUUGAACUGCUUCAGAUUAUCUGCUUAGGAGGGCAGAUAUUCUAAAAAGAUCCUUUAAAAAACCGUUUGCAAAUUAUAACUCUAUUGAGACAAAAGAAUUGCCCCUACCUGAUUCCUGUGGGGAGAACUCUUGCUUUAAUAUCCCCAAGGAAUUCGCUGAACAUUAGUUUGAAGUAUGCUGGAUCUACUUCUAACAAAGAAGUGAGUGUCAACAAUUUUUAUUGAUGCAAGGAAAUAGAAUCCAUUGCUCGUUUCCAACCACUAGAGCAGAUGUCAUCCUGAUUUCACCUGGGGAGGCAUGGUGUUUUUAUUAGUCCUUAUCCAAGCCUAGGUCUUCUCCCUCUCUAUCCUACAACCCUCACUUAUCAGAGAGGUGAAGUUGGCAAACUCUUUAUCUGGGUAUUUUAAAAUAAAUUCUUAUUUAUUUAUUUAUUUAUUUAUGCCACACCCACAGCAUAUGGAAAUUUCCAGGCCAGGGAGUUGAAUGGGAGCUACUGCUGCUGACCUAUGCCAAUGCCAGAUCCAAGUCAGUUCCUGCAACCUACACCAUAGCUUAGGGCAACACUGGACACUGGAUCUCCCACCCACACAGAGCAAGGCCAGGGAUCAAACCUGCAUCCUCAUGGAUCCUAGUUGGAUUUGUUUCCACUGUGCCACAGUAGGAACUCCCCUUGCUCUUAUUUUUGAUAAUUCUCUUUAGCUCUUCUAGNUAGGUCUCUUUUUUUUUUUUUUUUUUUUUUUUUUUGUCUUUUUUUGCUAUUUCUUGGGCCGCUCCCAUGGUAAAUGGAGGUUCCCAGGCUAGGGGUCGAAUCAGAGCUGCAGCCACCAACCUACGCCAGAGCCACAGCAACACGGGAUCAUUAACCCACUGAGCAAGGGCAGGGAUUGAACCCACAACCUCAUGGUUCCUAGUCAGAUUCGUUAAUCACUGCGCCAUGAUGGGAACUCCAUAGGUUUCAUUUUCUUUGUGAUCUUAUAAUGAUACAUUUCACCUACAAAUGAUAUAUUGCUUUUCUGUCUAUUUUCAUAUUUUCCCCUGCCUUUAUUAUAUUUUUAAUCUUUCUCAGAAUUUUUCCCCAUUUGUUUAUAUUUAGAAGGAAGACUUCAACAUCUACAUGGUAACAUAAUGCAUAAUCUCACUAUGAGAUUCUAAAUCUACUCAAAAAUUGGCAGGAAGGAGUUCCCAUUGGGUUCAGCAGGUUGAGAACCCAACUAGUUUCAACGAGGAUGAUGCAGGGUUUGAUCCCUAGUCUGGCUCAGUGUAAAGAUCUGGCAUUGCCUCAAGCUAUCUGGUGUGGCUGUGGCUGUGGUGUAGACUGGCAGCAGCUCUGACUCAACCCCUAGCCUAGGAGUUUCUAUCUUCUGUAUGCUGCAAGUGCAGCUGUAAAAGGGGGGAAAAUGUGGGAAAAGAAGAAACAGAAGGCAGUCCUUGUAAAUUUUGACAAAGCCAAUGGCACAGUAGCUUUUUGUGAAAGCUCAAGUUCAUUACCUCUGUCUAAAUUAUCAUUUUCAAAUCUCAGAAAACAGUUAACUUUUUAGUUGAAUCACCACAUACAAUUUGAAUAAGGAGAAUAUUUGAGGACCAUGUAUUAUCCUUGAACUGAUAAAAUGUAAUUCAUUUCAGUUUCUUAUAUUUUCACCCCAUUUAGCUUUUUCAAGCAGAAAUUUCAUAAAGUAAUUACUUACCACUUUAACAGCAGAACUAUCAUGUUCUCAUUUAGGAAUUUUUGAAAACAUUGUUCACGUAUUUUACUCGUGUUAGUUCCCAAUGUAUUUUCCCUAAUUGCUGAAGCAUAACACCAGGGUUGUUUGCAGGGUGAAAAUUUAGCACACACACUUUUAAAGAGAGUUAUUCAGAGUUAAAAGCUCUAAAUUGGAACUGGCCUCAUUUUUAGAUGGGAAGAAGAGUGAAUAAAAAGAUGCUUCUGUAGAAAGUGACUGACCUUCCCACAUUAAAAAAAAAAAGUCUCUCUUCAUAGUCUCCCUUUUUUUCCUGUCUACAAGGUAAAUGAGAUUUCUAAAUUUUAUUUCUCAAUUUCUAUUUUAUUUCUCAGUUCUGUUUCCUCACUUCCACAUUUAAAAUCUUGGUUGUUAGCCUAAUUACUGCCCAGAAGUUUGUUUCUCUUAUCAGGCAGAGCCUUAUAGACCUCUGAAAUCCCUUGGACUAUUCACCUGCCUUUGGAAAUUUGAGAAACCAAAGAAUUGAGUCUUGGCACCUUUAAUUUUGACCACUCAUUUAUAAGUAGAGGAAGACAGAUGAAUUUUUCACAUAAUUCUCAACAGAAACUAUCCUAAUUUGCUGAGGACUUCUCCAUCUAGUGAUAUUCAGUUCUCACUUUCUCUUUUAACUGGACUCUUCAUAUAAAUCUAACUUUUUUUGUUGUUUUUUAGGGCCACACAUGAGGUAUAUGGAAGUUUCCAGGCUAAGGGUGGAAUUGGAGCUGUAGCUGCUGGCCUAUGCCACAGUCACAGCAACAUGGGAUCUAAGCCACGUCUGCAACCUACAACAUAUCUCACAGCAAUGCUGGAUCCUUAACCCAAUGAGCAAGGCCAGGGAUGGAACCCAAGUCCUCAUAGAUACUAGUUGGGUUCAUUACCACUGAGCCACGAUGUGAACUCCUUUUUUUUCCCCAAUGCCAAGUGUUUCACAUCCCACUUCUGAGGAUAGCUACAGCAUUUCUAGUGUACUACACAUUUACACAGGAAGAUAAUAUACAGAUUAAAUAUAAUUUAUUAGCCAAGUAUGCAAAAUAGUGUUGGAAUUAAUAUGGACAUACCAAGAAGGAAGGAAGAGAGUUUGCGGGCUUCAAUUUCCUGGUCCAAAGAUCUACAGUGGCAUAGCGAUGGAAAGGGAUUCCUAAUGUCAGUGACACUGUGCAUAUGAAGUCAUGUCUUUCUGGAUCUGUGAAGCUCCAUCUGCAAAUGUCACUGCCACUUUAUACUUGAAGCUAGCAUCAUCACUCUAGAAGUUGAAAGUAAGUUAUCUAAUAUGCAUAGAGAGAAUAUACUAUAUUGACUAUCUAUCUGUUAUGUGAUUUUAAGCUAUUUUUUACAAACACGGAAUUUCCUUGAGUUUUGUGCCUAACCUGAAUUUAGCAGAGCCACAUCCUCAUCUGAUAGAAGAAAGAAGAGUCAAAACCCAUGUGUUUCUUUCCCAAUUUCCAACAUUCUGAAAACCAUGUUUCCUUAACUUCUUAUUGUUCUCAUAACUUACCAGUAAUGCAAAGAGGGAAAAAAAUUACAAAUGUUUUGUGUAUCUGAAAUUAACAAUGAAAUCUCAUAUAUUACAAACUUCCAAAUAGUAAUUUCCUGGACAACUAUCUUUCAAUUUUAAACAAUUAUUUUUCUUUGUUUUUGAGGAGAAAAUUAAUCUAUGCAUUUCAUCCUAUGCUCAUUGUUAUCCAAAAGAAAUAUCUAUAUAUGACUAGUUAAAUAUUCUCAUUAAAUGCUAUACUUCUCUAAGAAAUUGCUUUAUAUAUAAAACUGCCCUGGUAUACCCACCAAAAAAUUCUUUAAAAUUAUAUUAAUCCUCAUCAGAAUGCAUCUUUGGAAACAUAAUUUGAUAAAAACAUUUAAACAAAAGCAAAUCUUCAUAGUCUUUCUAGAUAAUAUAGUUUCACUUGAAAAGGUUUAUCUCAUGGAGAGAUGAGCCUUAGAGAAAUAAUUUAGCAGUGAAUAUUUCAAGAUCAGUGACACAUCUGUAAGAAAGAAGUAUUGUUGAUUUUCACUUUCAGCACUCCUCAGAUGUGGCAAUAGAUGGUUGCUAAUUUUACACAUAAGGUGUAUUAAACCCAACACUAAUUUAGGAAACCACAAAUUAAAAGGCUAAAGCUACCAACAAUUAUAAAAGUGUGACACCGGAAUAGAACAGAAAGUUCAGAUAAAGAUUUAUACAUAUACUUAUUUCUAAAGUAUUAAAUAUGGAUUUUUUAACAUGUAAAAAAAAAACUGGCUAACAUUCUAGAAAAAAAUUAUAAAUUUACAUUCCCAUUGGCACUGGUAUUCAUGCUAGCUGUAUUAAAUGUUUUGAUAUAAAAAAUAAAACUAUAAGGGAAUUAAAUGUAAAUUUUAUAUACAUAUUAAUUAAUCUUGAAUGAUAAAGUUAUAAAAACAAUAUAAAAAUAAAACUCUGGACAUGUAAUAAUUUUAUUAUAUAGAAAUUCAAUUAUAAAAUUAUAUUUUGCAAGACUAAAACACUCUAAACUAAAAUAAAAGUACAAAGCAAAAAUUUUCACCAUGCUCUAGAGACAAAGCUUUCAUAUCUUUAAUACGUAAAGAUAAUGGUAAUAUAAAUUAGAAGAUAAAAAUAUUGAUCCAAUAAAAUAAUAUAAUGUUCUAGGCAAGUUAUGAAAUAAGUAACAUGAAAGGUUGCUAUACAUAUUGGGUAGAAUACUAAAAUCUUCCAAUAAUAAACAAUUGCAAAUUAAACAGCAAGAGCAAUAAAGUGCUCACUUUGAAAAUUUUUAUACCAAAGGGCAGCACUAAUAACCAAUGCAAGCAAUAGUAUGAAGACAGACCCUUUGUAGACUUUCAUAACAUACAAUCUUUGGAGAAAAAAAAAAAACAUUAAAUUUUUUUCUUACUCUUAUACCUAAAAAUGUCCCUGUAGAAAAAUACACUAAGACAAUAUUAAACAGGUGAGGAGCAUAAAAUGAGUAGCAUUUUCUUAACAACUGGAAGGUUUUAGACGUGUGUUAUUCCCCAACGGCUAAGCUCUUUGAGGAGCAUCUAUUAAGCAUGUUUUAUAAACUAAGCCCUGUUUUAAACUCUAUACGCACCAAGGUAAAUAAGACAGUGCAUGAUUGGAGGCACCUUAAAAUUUACAUAUGUAAAAUAUGUAUAUGUGGGGAGUAUCUGUUAUAACAUUCAUUUAAGUUUACUAAAUGUCUGUUCUAUCUUGUAAUAGCACUAGGGAAGUGUUCAUAUUAUUGAAAUAGCCUGUAGUCCAGUCCAUCUUAGCCAGAAGUGGGUUUGUUUGGCCUUUUGUUCUAUUUUUUUGUUUUUGUGUUUUACCAUCUCCUAAUCUAUGUUGCUAUGUGUGGUAUUCAGGGUCCAUGAUGGUCCCCAAUGGUUCUGACAUUCCUGUCCAGACUUCCCUCCCUUCCUGAACUGCAAUCAGUACAGUAUUACAGAAAUGAUGGUGU